GUCUAGGGCGAUACCACCCUGAAUGAGCCCGAUCUCCUCUGAUCUCGGAAGUAUAAGCAGGGUCAGGCCUGGUUAGCACUUGAAUGGGAGACUGCCUGGGAAUACCAGGUGCUGUAGGCU
This 120-nucleotide ribosomal RNA is filed under the name Rhinopithecus roxellana (golden snub-nosed monkey). The record is from RNAcentral. Lineage: Eukaryota; Metazoa; Chordata; Mammalia; Primates; Cercopithecidae.